GAUGAACGCUGGCGGCGUGCCUAAUACAUGCAAGUCGAGCGAACAGACGAGGAGCUUGCUCCUCUGACGUUAGCGGCGGACGGGUGAGUAACACGUGGAUAACCUACCUAUAAGACUGGGAUAACUUCGGGAAACCGGAGCUAAUACCGGAUAAUAUAUUGAACCGCAUGGUUCAAUAGUGAAAGACGGUUUUGCUGUCACUUAUAGAUGGAUCCGCGCCGCAUUAGCUAGUUGGUAAGGUAACGGCUUACCAAGGCAACGAUGCGUAGCCGACCUGAGAGGGUGAUGGCCCCCCCGGGAACUGAGACCCGGCCCAGCUCCCUAGGGGGGGCAGCAGUAGGAAAUUUUCCGAAAUGGGCGAAAGCCUGAGGGAGAAACGCCGGGGGGGUGAUGAAGGUUUUCGGAUCGAAAAACUUUGUUAUUGGGGAAAAAAAAAUGGGUAAGUAACUAUGCACGUUUUGACGGUACCUAAACAAAAAGCCCCGGCUAACUACGG
RNAcentral lists this ribosomal RNA (496 nucleotides) under uncultured bacterium. Its description in RNAcentral is "partial 16S ribosomal RNA". It matches the Rfam family "Bacterial small subunit ribosomal RNA", at positions 28 to 506 of the family's 1533-position model. The record is from RNAcentral.